UACGUAGGGGCCAAGCGUUGUCCGGAAUUAUUGGGCGUAAAGGGCGUGUAGGCGGCCCGAUAAGUCAGAUGUUAAAUCUGCAGGCUCAACCUGUAGCCGCAUUUGAUACUGUCGGGCUAGAGAAUGGUAGAGGAAAGUGGAACUUACGGUGUAGCGGUGAAAUGCGUAGAUAUCGUAAGGAACACCAGUGGCGAAGGCGACUUUCUGGGCCAUUUCUGACGCUGAGACGCGAAAGCCAGGGGAGCAAACGGG
RNAcentral lists this ribosomal RNA (252 nucleotides) under uncultured bacterium. RNAcentral's name for it is "partial 16S ribosomal RNA". It matches the Rfam family "Bacterial small subunit ribosomal RNA", at positions 524 to 776 of the family's 1533-position model. The record is from RNAcentral.